GGGUCUGUCGAUCGUGACGGUGGGCAUCGUGGCGCUCACGGUGGCGCUGCUGCGCACCCUGCGCGGCCCGGUGUUCUUCCCGCUGCGGGCACUC
This 94-nucleotide transfer RNA is filed under the name Microbacterium dextranolyticum. RNAcentral describes it as "tRNA-Val". Lineage: Bacteria; Bacillati; Actinomycetota; Actinomycetes; Micrococcales; Microbacteriaceae. The record is from RNAcentral.